RNAcentral lists this microRNA (26 nucleotides) under Homo sapiens (human). RNAcentral's name for it is "hsa-miR-4700-3p". The record is from miRBase by way of RNAcentral. Lineage: Eukaryota; Metazoa; Chordata; Mammalia; Primates; Hominidae.
CACAGGACUGACUCCUCACCCCAGUG